GGCGGCAGGCCUAACACAUGCAAGUCGAGCGAGACCUUCGGGUCUAGCGGCGGACGGGUUAGUAACGCGUGGGAACGUGCCCUUCUCUGCGGAAUAGCCACUGGAAACGGUGAGUAAUACCGCAUACGCCCUUCCGGGGGAAAGAGUUUAUCGGAGAAGGAUCGGCCCGCGUUAGAUUAGAUAGUUGGUGGGUAACGGCCUACCAAGUCUACGAUCUAUAGCUGGGUUUUAGAGGAUGAUCAGCAACACUGGGACUGAGACACGGCCCAGACUCCUACGGGAGGCAGCAGUGGGGAAUCUUAGACAAUGGGCGCAAGCCUGAUCUAGCCAUGCCGCGUGUGUGAUGAAGGUCUUAGGAUCGUAAAGCACUUUCGCCAGGGAUGAUAAUGACAGUACCUGGUAAAGAAACCCCGGCUAACUCCGUG
RNAcentral lists this ribosomal RNA (425 nucleotides) under uncultured bacterium. RNAcentral describes it as "bacterial SSU rRNA". It matches the Rfam family "Bacterial small subunit ribosomal RNA", at positions 38 to 507 of the family's 1533-position model. The record is from RNAcentral.